GCUGAGGCAAAGAGCUGUGAUUACUCUCAUGUCGCUAAUUGUGCUGACGAACAUACCAAGGCGCAGGCGAGCGUUGUUCUGUAGCAGCACAAAUGAAAGUUCACUCACUUGCACUGUGUUAGAGAGGAGGCAGAAAUCUCUGCGACAGAUCAACGACUCUAAAACCUGGAACUAUCUACAUACUACGACAGGAAAUUAGAAUAUGCAAAAUUGGACAGCGGUGAGAGAGUAGCCAUGUGCCACAAUCACACACGGGUGGCUGGUACUCUACAUUGAGCAGAGUCAGUUCGGGCGAGUGGAAAAUCUCGUAAAGGGUCCCAACCAACUCAGCUGCUCGAGCGUGACCUACUGGGAGGAGACCUCGGGGCAGAACCAGGACAUGCUGAAGGGGACUAAAUCUCCCAGGUGGCCUGUGAGCGCCAUGGAGAAAUCUGCUGUACUUGAUGCCGUCACAACCCAUAUCCAGAUCUUGUUAGUGUUAAGAGUAGUGACAGAUGGGUGGAUGGGCUUAUGCUCAAUAGUGUCUGGUGGCUUCAUUUACUGUAGCUAUGUGCCCCAAAUGGUAAGAUAAUAGUUUAUUAUUAAUUAGACAGUAUCUUUGAGUAUUUUUACACUGACAAUCAACGAAAUUCCCCCAAAAGUCCUUUAGUUGAGUCAUUUUGAAGUUAUUCAAAACACAUAUAUUUUUAGUUUUGAGGGAAAAACAAUGUAUGCUUUGAGAUAUUAAAUCAAACCCCCAGUGUAUUGUAUGCAAGGUUUUUAUUCGUUUUUCCCUAUAUCAUGACUCCCCCUUGUAAGCACGUAAGGCCAAAUGCAACUAUUUCUUUAAGUUUUUGUUUUUUAAGGUAGACUUACAUAAGGGGCAUUAAUACGCCAUAGAGCUCCUUCUUUCAUAUAAGAUUUGCUUAUAUUAUGAGUACAGUAUAUGAGAGUACAAUGAA
Long non-coding RNA from Xiphias gladius (swordfish), 941 nucleotides. RefSeq lists it as uncharacterized. The transcript is spliced from 4 exons. NCBI's taxonomy places the organism in Eukaryota, Metazoa, Chordata, Actinopteri, Istiophoriformes, Xiphiidae. The record is from RefSeq and is a predicted model, not a curated record.